Molecule: ribosomal RNA, 1266 nt
Filed under: metagenome
Description: bacterial SSU rRNA
Rfam family: Bacterial small subunit ribosomal RNA
Source: RNAcentral
GGCCUUGCGCUCUUUGAGCGGCCGAUGUCAGAUUAGCUAGUUGGUGAGGUAAAGGCUUACCAAGGCGACGAUCUGUAGCGGGUCUGAGAGGAUGAUCCGCCACACUGCAACUGAGACACGGUCCAGACUCCUACGGGAGGCAGCAGUGGCGAAUUUUGGACAAUGGGCGCAAGCCUGAUCCAGCCAUGCCGCGUGAGUGAAGAAGGCCUUCGGGUUGUAAAGCUCUUUCGGCCGGGAAGAAAUCGCGUGGGUUAAUACCCUGUGUGGAUGACGGUACCGGAAUAAGAAGCACCGGCUAACUACGUGCCAGCAGCCGCGGUAAUACGUAGGGUGCGAGCGUUAAUCGGAAUUACUGGGCGUAAAGCGUGCGCAGGCGGUUUUGUAAGACAGGCGUGAAAUCCCCGGGCUUAACCUGGGAACUGCGUUUGUGACUGCAAGACUAGAGUACGGCAGAGGGGGGUGGAAUUCCACGUGUAGCAGUGAAAUGCGUAGAGAUGUGGAGGAACACCAAUGGCGAAGGCGGCCCACUGGGUCGAUACUGACGCUCAUGCACGAAAGCGUGGGUAGCAAACAGGAUUAGAUACCCUGGUAGUCCACGCCCUAAACUAUGUCAACUAGGUGUUGGGUGGGUAAAACCAUUUAGUACCGUAGCUAACGCGUGAAGUUGACCGCCUGGGGAGUACGGCCGCAAGGUUAAAACUCAAAGGAAUUGACGGGGACCCGCACAAGCGGUGGAUGAUGUGGAUUAAUUCGAUGCAACGCGAAAAACCUUACCUACCCUUGACAUGCCAGGAACUUGUCAGAGAUGGCUUGGUGCCCGAAAGGGAGCCUGGACACAGGUGCUGCAUGGCUGUCGUCAGCUCGUGUCGUGAGAUGUUGGGUUAAGUCCCGCAACGAGCGCAACCCUUGUCGUUAAUUGCCAUCAUUUAGUUGGGCACUUUAGCGAGACUGCCGGUGACAAACCGGAGGAAGGUGGGGAUGACGUCAAGUCCUCAUGGCCCUUAUGGGUAGGGCUUCACACGUCAUACAAUGGUCGGUACAGAGGGUUGCCAACCCGCGAGGGGGAGCCAAUCCCAGAAAGCCGAUCGUAGUCCGGAUUGCAGGCUGCAACUCGCCUGCAUGAAGUCGGAAUCGCUAGUAAUCGCGGAUCAGCAUGCCGCGGUGAAUGCGUUCCCGGGUCUUGUACACACCGCCCGUCACACCAUGGGAGCGGGUUCCGCCAGAAGUAGGUAGCCUAACCGCAAGGAGGGCGCUUACCACGGCGGG